CACGGGGGGAGCAAGCGUUGUUCGGAAUCACUGGGCGUAAAGGGCGUGUAGACGGUCAAGUAAGUGGAAUGUGAAAGCCCCCGGCUUACCCGGGGAUCUGCAUCCCAAACUGCUUGGCUUGAGUACGGGAGAGGAUAGGGGAAUUCCUGGUGUAGCGGUGAAAUGCGUAGAUAUCAGGAGGAACACCGGUGGCGAAGGCGCCUAUCUGGCCCGAUACUGACGCUGAGGCGCGAAAGCUAGGGGAGCAAACGGG
Molecule: ribosomal RNA, 253 nt
Filed under: uncultured bacterium
Lineage: Bacteria
Description: partial 16S ribosomal RNA
Rfam family: Bacterial small subunit ribosomal RNA
Source: RNAcentral